GAGACCACUUGUUCCCAAAGUUAAAAAAUUACCUGAAGUCUUGACGAUAUAACUCUUAAUGAAAAUUUAAUUGAAAAUUGGCAAAUCAUUCAUUUAAAGUGUAACACGAAGAAUGUAAAUGUGUACGUGGAUUUAAAAUGUGCGUAUAACAAAAGUAUAAUAAUUAUAUACAAAAAUGAAUUAAUUAAAAUUAAU
Molecule: long non-coding RNA, 195 nt
Organism: Bradysia coprophila
Lineage: Eukaryota; Metazoa; Arthropoda; Insecta; Diptera; Sciaridae
Source: RefSeq, a predicted model, not a curated record